RNAcentral lists this ribosomal RNA (253 nucleotides) under uncultured bacterium. Its description in RNAcentral is "partial 16S ribosomal RNA". It matches the Rfam family "Bacterial small subunit ribosomal RNA", at positions 524 to 776 of the family's 1533-position model. The record is from RNAcentral.
UACGUAGGUGGCGAGCGUUGUCCGGAUUUAUUGGGUUUAAAGGGUGCGUAGGCGGCUUAUUAAGUCAGUGGUGAAAUAUUACAGCUUAACUGUGAGGGUGCCAUUGAUACUGAUGAGCUUGAGUAAAGUCGAGGUAGGCGGAAUUGACGGUGUAGCGGUGAAAUGCAUAGAUAUCGUCAAGAACACCGAUAGUGAAGACAGCUUACUAGACUUAUACUGACGCUGAGGCACGAAAGUGUGGGGAUCAAACAGG